RNAcentral lists this ribosomal RNA (587 nucleotides) under Wickerhamiella pararugosa. RNAcentral describes it as "eukaryotic LSU rRNA". It matches the Rfam family "Eukaryotic large subunit ribosomal RNA", at positions 38 to 667 of the family's 3401-position model. Lineage: Eukaryota; Fungi; Ascomycota; Dipodascomycetes; Dipodascales; Trichomonascaceae. The record is from RNAcentral.
GCAUAUCAAUAAGCGGAGGAAAAGAAACCAACAGGGAUUCCCUUAGUAACGGCGAGUGAACCGGGAAAAGCUCAAAUUUGAAAUCUGCCAACAGGCCGAGUUGUAAUUUGUAGAUGGCUACACUGCAUAAUAGUAGAUGCUCAAGUUCUUUGGAAAAAGACAUCAUGGAGGGUGACAAUCCCGUGAGGCAUGUUACUAGGAGCAUAUAGUGGGCUUUCUAAGAGUCGAGUUGUUUGGGAAUGCAGCUCAAAGUGCGUGGUGAAUACCAUGUAAAGCUAAAUAUGGACGAGAGACCGAUAGCGAACAAGUACUGUGAAGGAAAGAUGAAAAGCACUCCGAAAGGAGAGUGAAAUAGUACGUGAAAUUGUUAAAGUGGAAGGGCUUGAGAUCAGAAUUGGUAGUUUGGGUUCCACGUCCUCUUGGGGGCGUGUACUCCCUUUCCACCGGGCCAGCGGGAGUUUCGUCUCUUGGGUAAAAGCAGUGGAAUGUAGCAGCUUGUCUGUAUUAUAGCCUCUGUUCAUACAAGACGUCGAGACUUGUUUUUGUUGGCGUAAUGAUCUCUAGCCACCCGUCUUGAAACACGGACC